Molecule: transfer RNA, 273 nt
Filed under: uncultured Chromatiales bacterium
Lineage: Bacteria; Pseudomonadati; Pseudomonadota; Gammaproteobacteria; Chromatiales
Description: partial 16S-23S ribosomal RNA intergenic spacer
Rfam family: tRNA (bases 74-147)
Source: RNAcentral
CCUCCUUUAAAGAAACCGGAAUAAGGCGUGAAAGCGCCCGCACAAUUUGCCUAAUCACCGUUAGAUACACCGCGGGUCUGUAGCUCAGUAGGUUAGAGCGCACCCCUGAUAAGGGUGAGGUCGGAAGUUCAACUCUUCCCAGACCCACCACCUUCGCGCCUAUAGGGGCAACAAGGGAACAAGGGGCCAUAGCUCAGAUGGGAGAGCACCUGCUUUGCAAGCAGGGGGUCGGCGGUUCGAUCCCGCCUGGCUCCACCAGGGGGUUUAAACGGA